Molecule: unclassified non-coding RNA, 1070 nt
Filed under: Hevea brasiliensis (rubber tree)
Lineage: Eukaryota; Viridiplantae; Streptophyta; Magnoliopsida; Malpighiales; Euphorbiaceae
Source: RNAcentral
GGAAAGUGCAUGGAGGGUGUCUGUUCUAAGUCUAACAAUGACAGCUCCACAAGGUUCUGAAUUUCAUAUAAUUGGAUACCAUAAAUAAAACAACACGUGAGGACACCAAAACUCAAAUUCAAACAUUAUAGAGAAAAAUUACAUUUGCUGAGUUGAUUCAAGAAAAAAGAAAAAGAAUUUGAGAUCAACACAAUCCACUAGAUUCAUCCCAAGAAUCUCACACACUUGUACACACAAAAGAAGACUAUCAGAAAAAUUCACACCUCAGUAGUUUGUUGAAUAUAUUCUCUGUCUAAGAACAAAACUAACUUGCAGGUUCAUCCAACGAAAACACACACACUUGAAAAGUUCAUGAAAGAAUCAAACAAUGGCACAAUUUUAAAAGUAGGUUAGUCCGAUAUGGUAAAUUCAACUCGAUCGGAUACAGGUACAGCUCCAUAUCCAGCUCCAGAAGCUGAACUGAUCAAAGAUCUUGAUGCAGCCUCUCGUUCAUCAAGAAAUAGCCCAUCUGCGUUCUUCAAAACGGCGUGAACACCACAUAUCAAAAUCCCUAUCACAAUACCUAACACCAAACUCCAAAAACCACCGCUCAACCAAAUAGCCAAAAUUGAGACCAAAACCAAACCUACUAAAACCAGACGAUCACUCACUUGAUAGCCCCAAAAGACCAGUGGAUCUUCUCUGAAAAAGUAGAUUAGCAACCAGAGUGCGAAAACGAGGGCAAAUAGGAUCAGUGCAUAUGGGGACCCCGUCAGAGACAACGCACCGCAGACGGAGACGACGAUAGCGUAGUUGAUGCGAAAAUAGCGGAGGUUAAUGCGGACGCGGCUCAGGCCGGAGGCGAAGGAGUCGGGGCGGUUGAAGGUUCCGGAUGCGAUGAGUUCGGGCCACGGGCGAAGGCGGGAGACGAAGGCAGUGAGGUUAUGAAGUGACCGAGAUAUGACAUCGGCGGGGGAGAUGGGGAUGGUAGUAUAGAUGGUUGGGGCGGCGGGGGUAGUGGUGGGUGCUGACGGUUGCGUCAUUUUUUCUUUUGACUUUUUCUUUGGAAGUUUGACCCGUUUGACCACAAC